Molecule: ribosomal RNA, 793 nt
Filed under: uncultured bacterium
Lineage: Bacteria
Description: bacterial SSU rRNA
Rfam family: Bacterial small subunit ribosomal RNA
Source: RNAcentral
AGAGUUUGAUCAUGGCUCAGAUUGAACGCUGGCGGUAGGCUUAACACAUGCAAGUCGAGCGGAAACGAUGUAGCUUGCUACAGGCGUCGAGCGGCGGACGGGUGAGUAACGCGUAGGAACCUACCUAGUAGUUUGGGAUAGCCAUUGGAAACGAUGAUUAAUACCGGAUACGCCCUACGGGGGAAAGAGGGCUUCGGCUCUCGCUAUUAGAUGGGCCUGCGUAAGAUUAGCUAGUUGGUGAGGUAAUGGCUCACCAAGGCGACGAUCUUUAGCUGGUUUGAGAGGAUGAUCAGCCACACUGGGACUGAGACACGGCCCAGACUCCUACGGGAGGCAGCAGUGGGGAAUAUUGCACAAUGGGCGCAAGCCUGAUGCAGCCAUACCGCGUGUGUGAAGAAGGCCCUAGGGUUGUAAAGCACUUUCAGCGAGGAGGAAAGGUUAGUAGUUAAUACCUGCUAGCUGUGACGUUACUCGCAGAAGAAGGACCGGCUAACUCCGUGCCAGCAGCCGCGGUAAUACGGAGGGUCCGAGCGUCAAUCGGAAUUACUGGGCGUAAAGCGUACGUAGGCGGUUUGUUAAGUUGGAUGUGAAAGCCCAGGGCUCAACCUUGGAACUGCAUUCAAAACUGAUGAACUCGAGUAUGGUAGAGGUAAGUGGAAUUUCCUGUGUAGCGGUGAAAUGCGUAGAGAUGGGAAGGAACAUCAGUGGCGAAGGCGACUUACUGGACCAAUACUGACACUGAGGUACGAAAGCGUGGGUAGCAAACAGGAUUAGAUACCCUGGUAGUCCACGC